RNAcentral lists this long non-coding RNA (39414 nucleotides) under Populus trichocarpa (black cottonwood). RNAcentral's name for it is "long non-coding RNA (PTRI_LNC002142)". Lineage: Eukaryota; Viridiplantae; Streptophyta; Magnoliopsida; Malpighiales; Salicaceae. The record is from RNAcentral.
GGGGGCUGGGGGGAUUUGGUGCUGGAGCUGGUGCAUGAUGAUGCCUCUUGUGCUUGUGCUUGUGUUUUCUUUUCUUCUUGUGCUUGCCAGGAGCUGGAGCUGGGGAAAGCACUAAUGCUGGUGAUGGGGCUGGUGGUGGAAUAGCUGGUGCUGGUGCUGGAGUGGCUGGUGCUGGUGCUGGUGUUGGCGCUGGUGUUGCUGGUGCUGGUGCAGGUGCAGGUACUUCCUUAGCUGGUGAUGGUGAUGGUGUCUCUUUUGCAGGGGCUGGUGCUGGAGCUGGAGACACUCGUGGUGGAGGUAAGGAAGGCGGUGGUGUAGCUGGUGGUAAAGAAGGCGGUGGUGUAGCUGGUGGUGGUGGCAGUGCUGGUGUUUGUAUUGGAGCUGCAGUUGGAGGACUUUGCAGUGGUUGUGGAGGUGGAACUAUUGGGCUGGUAGCUGGUGCUACUUUAGGAGACGGUGGUGAUAUAGGAGUGGUUGCAGGUGGGAGUGUCAUUGCACUUAUUGGUGAUUGUGCUGGUGUGGUUGAAGGUGGAGGCGUAGUGGUUGUAGGUGCAGGUGUAGCGGGUGAAGUUGUUGAUGGCGAUGCUGCUGGUGUUUGGGCAUCGGUAAUAGCUAAUGGGAAACUCAGACAAGCCACGAUGAGAGCCCAAAGCACCAAGGCCAUUUUGUUGUAAUGAGAAGUAACAGGAAGAAGUAAUAUGUUAUAUAGAGUUGUGGGAAAUAGGUUUUUAAUUUUAAUAAAUGUUUGGUGGAAUGUCAAGAGGGGGAGAUGCAGUCUUUAUUUGAAUGCUACAUCCCUUCCAAUGAUUGGGAAUGAUGUCUUUUACGGCCAGGUCUGCAUUUAGUUGGUCGCAUCAGUCAGAUUUGGGGCCAAAAAUUUAGUAAUCUGAAGAAAGAUUCACUGCUUUAAGUUUUAGGUAUAUUGGUAACGCUGCUGCUGAUAUGAUUGUCAAUAGUUGUGCUGUAUUGGAUUUUUGGAUAUUGCAUCAAUCAGCAGCUAGAGAGACCCAUGUACUCGAUCUGUUAUGCAGUUUGAACUCAUUUAGAACCUUAGCACAAAGAGGGAAGGCUGAAGUUUCUUUUUCUUCACGGUGGGAUCUCGUAAUUAGGUAAUAUGUGUUUGCUUCAAUAGAAUCUUGAACCUAACAGAAAUUCGAAUCACGAGUUUUUAUGAUCAUAAAUUAUUACCACAAUCUUUUAUUUGUUGUGCCAGAAAUGUCUAGACAAAUGAUGGAGUGGAAAUGAGAGGGAGGAGAUGCAGACGGCAAACUGGGCUAACCUUUCACCUACUUAGGACGGACCAUGAUGUCGAUCCUAACACAAUCUUUACAUUGGUAAGCAGUCCCUGUCCAGUUCAAGGAAAGAGAGCAAGGUAGGGUGCCUUUUUCUGAUUUCUUUUUUGUUUCACUCAGCUGAGGACAUCUUGCUGUUUAAGGACAAAAAAUGCUGGUGACAAUUGAGCGCACCUGACAUCACGACGAUCUUAAAAAAUUUAAUGAAAAGAACAAGUUUCUGACAUUUUUUUUUUGUGGGAAAAAAGUAUUGUUUAAGGAGUCGCCACCGAAUAUUAUGUUCACUAGAAAUUUUAACUAGUCAACAUAGAUUCUAUGGUACAAGACUGGUUAUGUAAAAGUAAAGAUAUUAUCACCCUUGAAGCGUCCUGCCUGAGGCAGACUGUAUUGUUGGAUUUGUUUUAAAUUGCUAGAAGUUUGUUGGCUUAUGCUAUGAUGGUCUACUUGUAAUAUUCUUGACUCAGACGUCAGUGAAUAUUCAACUACGGAUAUUUUCAACUCUGACGUUGGUAAAUAUUACGUAGUAAAAAAAAACAAAAAACAAAUGGUAUUCUUUAUUCUGGUGUUAGUGAAUAUACCAAUAAAAUAAAUUUAAAUCUAUGCAUGUAUAUUUUUUUUUAUGCAUGUUGAGCCUGAGGUCCAACCCAACUUUUUUCUUUUUUUUUAAUUUUUUUGGGACUGGGUUUAGCUCAGCUAAUCUAGCCGGUCCAGCCUGGUCACUGGCCUAAACUAGUGACCCGGCUGGGCCACACACCCACUACAUAAAACAAGAAACUAGUGAAUUAUAAUUCACUUAUUUUAACCUAAUCUUCAAUCAAUUUAUUUAUUUCAUAUUUUUAUAUAUAUAUUAUUUUUGAAAAUUCAAAAAUUAGGUUAUAUCAAGGCAUUGCAUAUUCUGUUAUCCGUUAGAAUUUGUAAAAUUAUAAUCCAAUGCACAAUGCGAGAGCUGAACUUGUUAUAUCCACAAGUUCAGGCUACUUGUUGCAAGAUUCUAGUGACCCUGUGGGGAUCUAACAAUAAGGCUAAAAGUAAAUCGCAAACAACUUUCACGAAUUGGGGCUAAAUCUUGAACGGAUAGUUUUGCUGCAAACCUGGUGAAAUUCACCAGUCUUCGGCAAUGAACCCCCCAUUUUUCCAUUAUAAAAAAGAAAAAAAAAAGAGAAUCUGCAAAUUCAGAAUUUCGACUGGAUGCUGCAGUUGCAAAAAAUAAAAACUCGUGAGAUUACAGUGGUUUUCCAUGGUGACAGGCGUUGCAUGACAAUUGCUACUGCAGGCCCACGUGGAAACAAGGUAUUUGGGAAACUAGGGUAUCUUCCAAUCUUUCCAACGAUAUCAUGAUCUCUCUAUGCUAAUACAAGGUUUUAUUCCAAGUCGUAUUUUUCACCUUCAGACAAAGGCAAUAUGAAGUUCGUGGAUUUCAUAUUCUCAUAAAGACGUCAAUAAUCUAUUCAAUUUGAUCGAAAAGAUACUACUGUUUUUUUUGCAAAGUUUUUAUUUAACGUACAAGGACUUGGUGUUCUAUCAUCUCUUACAAACAGAACAUGGCAUGGAAGAAACCAUGCAUCUUACCAAGGAUUUUCAAUUGAGGAUUUGUUAUGGGAAGACACGAAGGCUGAGGAGGGGAAUCUUCUUUCUUCUCCUUUUUCCUUCUCCUAAGCUGGAAGAACUGCUGCAUUACAUCUGCACACUCAGAUUCCAAUAUUCCUCGCCGAAUUGUCAUCUUUCGAUGGAAAGGAUGGACUGGAGCCGAUGGCUUGUUAGAUAGUUCUGAGCCAUUUUCUUCUCCCGCAUCAGGAAAAAGCCUGCAAAAAUUGUCACGCAUGAAAAUUUUUGGUUGAGUCGGAUGAAGGCCUAAUAAAGUUGAAUAACUGGUUUGCGAAUGGUGGUUUGUUCCAAGUCUCUUGGCCCUAAAUCCCAUUCUAGCAGAGAUUGUAUGCUUUGCUUGGUAACUGGAACAAGUAAACUUCAUAUAAUAUCAGCAGCCAUUUCAGUUAAACUGGGAGAAUGGCCAUAGAAACCAAUUAAUCAUUUUCUUUCCAAUAAAAAAAAAUAGCAACAGCAAUAAGAAAUAAAAGACUGAUUUUAGUAAGGGCAAAGCUUGUGCUCUAUUAAUCAUGUUUUGAUCCACAGACGCAAUAUGACGCUAUUAGCAUUGAUGACAUUAAUACAGAAAAGGGGAAACCAUUCACAAGGAAGAAAACGUGGCCCGUGUAUCUCAAUCUUAGUACAUUGUAAUGGCAAGGCAAUUUGAACACUUUUCCUAUUGGGGUGCAUAAUGCAUGGUCAGAUCACUUUAAUAACAAGUAUCUCAGCAGGAAAGGACCAAAUAAUGCAUUUUUUUUAUGGAAUGAAUAUGGCACUAUUGAUAUUUAACAAGAACAAUUUAAAGAAAUGGCUUUGGUUUUUUUCCUUGAAUAAUAAUUGCUGUACAAAAGACCAGUCUCCCUUUAUAAUGAGACUUCAUGGAUGAUGUGCUUACCUAAUCCAGCUUCCAUCAGCUCCAAGAAGCUUAUUGGGAGCUCCCCAUACAAGAGUUUUUAUUCUUGCUUGAAGUAUUGCUCCAGCACACAUAGGACAUGGUUCAAGUGUUAUAUAAAGUGUAGUCUCCUGCGAAUCAAAUCAUUAAACAUCAUUAAGCACCUGCUGUGCAUAUCAGCCAACUCAGAGACAGUUCCUUGAGAAGUGAUUUGCACUUUGAAACUCGGUUUUCAAUUGAUAUAGUUAUGAUUGCCUUUUUAUCUGUUCCUUUCAUAUGUAAAAGCUAGUCAAUGAAUAAGUUAAAAUGGUUUGAUAACGAUUAAACUAGUUGAGAGUGAAUCCAUUAACUAUCAAUUAUUGUCUCCGUAGGAUGUUGAAUAUUUCAAAAAGAAUGAAGGGAAUAUAUAAAGUUCUCAAAAAAUGGAGAAAGUACCGAAAGCCUCCAUGUCCGGAGUUUGUUUGAUGCUUCCCGUAUACAAAUCAUUUCUGCAUGGGCAGUGGAGUCUCGUAACUCCUCCACUCUGACAUAUAAAUCUCCACAUAAAAAACCCAAAAAAGAGUAAGCGCAAUAAAAGGUUUUAUUCACUAGUGCAUACAACUUACAGGUUGUGGCCACGAGCAAUAAUCCUCCCAUGAUGCACCAACACGGCCCCAACAGGCACCUCCCAAGAAUCAGCAGCCUUCUUGGCUUCUAGCAGCGCUUCUCUCAUAAACAUUUCAUCAGUUUUCCGCAGCUCACUUUCACGUAAAUAGGCCUCUUCCCAUUCAUCAAAUCUGUCUCUCUCAACUUGCUUGUUUCGCUGAAGCCUCCUUUGUUUUGACUCCACACCCUUCCCCUCAGAGCCUGAUACUCCAAUUAACAUUUCACUAUCAGGUUGCUCCAUUGAACCACUAACAGAGACAUUAGUUUUAGCAGUACCAGAACUUUCUUCCACAAUGGGAUCACUUGUGCUAGUAGAAGGCAAUAAAACUAGUAAUGAUUCGUCUACUUCCGUGCUAGAUGUAGCAACUUGAAAAUCGUUCCCAUCUUGACUCCAGCCAAGAUUCUCCUCUUCAGAAGGUGUGGAAAUGCCUUUCGAUGUGGACUCGCUUUUUAGCAUAAUUGGCCGGGAUGAAGUGUAUCCUUCAAGCUGUCUUAUUAUGUUCUUUGAUACAAAUGUGUCAGAUGCUUUUGCCUGAUCUUGACUAAAAGUGUUUGUUGGUUGCAGCUGGUGAGAAGAGGCAGCUUCCUUAGGCAUGCUUUCCCUUUCCCUUUUCAUGUUCUCAUCACUGUUUUCAUCAGGUUCGUGGCCAGAAAACCAUGCCUCACUAGUAACAGAAUCAUUUGACGAACUCUUUCCACCUGAUCUCCAAGCUGAUUUAGGAGUUUCAGCAUGUGAACCCCAGCGCAAUAGUACUACAUUCGAAAUGAUGCUCCACAAGGACCUUCCAGUUCUCCUAACAACACCACUCUCAGUUUCUGUGCUACCUGCUGGUGCUUCAGUCUCUGUAGGUUCCUGAAUGGAUGGAUCUGUCACAUGCCACAUUUCAUCUGAGGGACCCUUCUCUCUGGAGCCCCUAGAUGAUUGCCUUGAGUCCUGCCUCUUAAACUGUAAGUCUUCAGAAUCAUAUUGACCUGAACUCUUUUGCCUCUGCUUCUCAGCUUCAUAUGCCAACUUUGUAUCAGAAACUGUCUUCUCCUUUUGGAUUUCAGAAGCCAAUACUUCAUGCCUAGCCUUCUCAACAAACUCCCCAACAAACUGCAUUGAUGAUUCCUCUAAACGAUGAGUUGAACCAAGAGCAUCUCCAGUUAAGAUAAGAUUUGAAGGCUCCCUGUAAAUCUCAUCUUUCUCAUUUUUACCAUAUGUUUCCUGCUGGAAAACUGGAGUUCCCCCUCCAGAAAUUAUAUACAGAGCACUUGCGCCACUUUCUGAAGUUCCUCUGGAAAUCUCUUGGUUUGCAUUCUUACUUGGCGGAUUAACACAUGCUGUACCUCGAGCUAACAAUUGAGGUGGGGGAGGCAUCAUUAUUGCCUGUGAAGUUCUUUGAUUGCCCUCUCCCACAUCAACCUCUUGAAUUCCCACUUGAGAAACCAUAUUAGCAGAUGCUUGAGAAUCUAAGGCAGCCUCCUGUGAAGUUCUUUCAUUAUGCCUUGAUUCGUAAGUAGGCCUCCAAACCUCAUUUCUAGAUUUGAAUUGAGUGACAUUUUCCUCAAUUUUAUCAGUCCUCUCUCUUGUUUCUCGAAUGGGUUCCACAGCUGAUGCCGAUUCACUUUCCUGAUCAACGAUUCUCUUUCCAGAAGUUCCACCAAAAUUGGUCACUGUUUUCACAUCACUUGCAUGGACCAGUGAUGCACCAGUGACAUUCAGAGAGAUAUUGGUGAUAUCUCCAGAUCCUUUUCUGGUUUCAGUUCCCUGAAGAGCUUUUUGAUUUGUUCGAGGCUGGUGCUCUUUUGCUUCUGUACCUGAACUAGAAACAACACUCUCACGUCCCUCCUGCUUCUUCAUUCUAGUUUCUGAUUGUAAAAGCAAAGUGUUUUUGCUACUACUGUCAUGAACUUCUGGUAUUUUAGAUAACUGUUGUAAACAUCUUGAUUGAACUUGUCUUCUUGUCUGCCCACCCAUUUGGAAUUGUUGCUCAUUUGUCUCAUAAAAUGACCCUAGAGCUCUAUCUUCUUCCAUAAUCUUCAUUCUAGGCUCGGAUUGCCACUGCAAAUUUGAAACUCUUUCAGUUCUGACAUUCUCAAGGGUUGAUGUGUCAAUGAGUUGGUGAGUGUUUCUUUUUAUAUUGUUUUCUGCAGCAGUUUCACCUACUUCAUAACGCUCAUCCCUUCCUUCCCAAACCAAAUUUACAUCCACUAGGUUUUCUUCUCUACCACUGAACCGCUUUUGGGAUUGGGAAGUUGUUUCGACAUUUGUUCCACUGCUCUCCUGUUUAUUAGUAAUUUCCUGGUAAUUUCUUCUGAAUUCAGAUUGCUCUUUCACGGGAUCACCCAUCUGACCAUAUUGCUUUCUUGUUCCUUUCUCCAAAUUAACUGCCAAGCUUUUCUCUUCCUCGUCAUCAAUUUGCUUAUGAGAACCUGAUACAUUCUUGUAAUCACUUUCAGUGGUUCUUGCCAUUCUUGAUUGCAUUUGUAAGGAUUCUCUUCCUGAUCGUGUUUCUUCAAUCUCAGUAAGUUUCUUCUCAGAUUUCUUCCUCAAAUCCCACUCAACACCAGUCCUUCUUGAACUAGUUCUUGCUUCCAAAACCUCCCCCUUCCACUCUGUGCCAUCUCUAUGCCUCUUAAACUCUUCUACAACUUGCCCCUUUAAUCUACCCUCUCCACUUCUUAACUCCUUGUAUCCAUGCGAUGAUUCUUUGAGACAAUCAACAUGUUCAUCCUGAGCUUCCAUGUCACUCUCAAAAUCUUCAGCAGAAGAAAGUGAGUAAUAUGAUGAAACACUAGAGCUCCCUCUCUUUCCCCUGCAAUUCUCCCCCUCUAAAACUGUUUUCUUUUCUUCCCUGUCUUCACUCCCUUCCUUCCUUGUAAACUCUUCCUUCCUCAACUCAACAUUAGCCAACCCAAAUUUACAUUUCGUAUCACUCUCCAAAGACCUACGCCCAACAUUCUUCCUCCUCCUCCCCUUAUGAUCUCCACCACUGUAAUUUCCUCUCUUCUCCGUUCCCACUCUCUUUGACAGGCCCUGAUUUCUCUCCCCAUCACGUAAACACUCUUCACUCAUUUCCUCACUCAGCAAACUAAUUACGGCCUCCACAUCAUCAACCCCGCUAAAACAUCGCCUUCCGUGCAACCUUACCCCCCCAGACCCACCCACCCUUCUCCUAGUAACCCUCUCACUCCCAUUCUUCUCCUUAAAAGAGCAAGAAUCCUCAUAACAACCAUGAUCAAGACCAUAAGCCGGAGACCGGUAAUAAUACCUAUCCCUCCCGCCCAAGAUCAACCUUCUAGAAGGCGGACAUUGAAUAAUAGUAGAUUGUCUAAAUCCAAAAAACAAACCUGGGUUUAUUGGCACUCUACGUAUAGUAGUGGUAGUAGAAAAUGAUGAUGAUGAUGCAGAACAAGAACAAGAACAACAACAACAACAACAACAAGAUUUAUUACAUGAUGAUGAACAAGAUUGUAAUAAAAAUGGGUUUCUUUCAAAUCUUUCACUUAAUAAGUUAGAGUAGUCAUUGAAAGAAAAGGAAAGUGACCCUUUUGUUCCCACGGACAACAAAGUUGAGCUAAUGUAAGUGUUAUGCAUAUCUUUGGUCCACUGUUAUAGAGAGAGGGAGGGGGCUUACCUUGAUGGAUUUUGUUAGGUUUUUGAAGCUAAAACUGGUGGUGAAAUCAUGUGGGAUGUUCUGUUGGAACUGGUUUGGUGAUUUGUACUUUUGCUUGACAAGAUUUGGACCAGAAUUUAGGAUGAGAGAGAGAAAGAGCUAGUGGUUUCAUUUUUCAAAUCGGAUGAGUUGACUCUCUCUGUGCUGGUUUAACUCGGUCGCCUUUAGAGAUUGACACAAAGUGGGCUGUGGGCUGCUGGCUUUCCAGGUGGGUGCACUUAAGCAAACAUUAGUGGGCUUCAUAUAUAAGUUAAUUGGGAUCUGAUCUAUAAAAUUGGGCUUUAAAAGUCCAAUACUCCAGCCCAAUAUGUAGUGUGAGUAAAUAUACUAACGGAACUCUAGAUACAAAUUAACCAAAAAUCUGUUUAUUUAUUCAUUAAUGACUAAUACUAAGUCAGAAAUUCUGUUUGGUGAUUUCAAAUCACGUAUGGUAUCCGUACAAAAUAUUUUAAAAAAAAAGCAUGGUGGCUGUGGCUAAUAAGAACCUUCAAAGUAAAUUCAAACUUAGAGCAUUCAAAUUGACACAAUUCAUUAAUUAUUAUUCAUUUGUUUGCGGGGCACAACAAGCAUGAUUUGCUGCUCGACAUUCGCUGCCAAACAAGACUCACUGUAUCUAUGACUUUGUAGCAUGAUCACCUAGUUGCAAGUCUUUGUUACAAUGAUUUGAUUAUGUUUAUCAUAUUUUUUAAAAAAUUGAUUUAAGAUUUAAAUUUUUUAUUUAAAGAAUAUUCAAUAAAUAUGUUAUGCAUAAAUUAUUCUGACUUGUUUAAAAGUAAUUUUGAUGAAUUAACUUUUUGGUUGGGAUUUUUGUAAAUAAAAAUCAUCUUUAAUAAAAUAGGUUUGUCAAGCAUAUCAUAUCCAAAGUACUUAGAUUUGAAAAUAAGAUAAACUUAAGGUAACAUGGGUCUGAUCAAUAUGGGAGACCCAAAGGACUUAGAUAUUAACAAGCUCCAAAGCUAUAUGUCUAAUUAUGGACAAUCCUCUACAAUAAAAGUAUUAAAGAUAUGAUAAAUCGUUAUGCCUAUACUCAUAGAUAUAUAUAUAAAGUUUCUUAAGGAAUCUAUCAUACUUACUAUCUCAUUAACGAUACGCAAGAGAUAUUUGUCCCUCAUUAAUUUGGUUGAAAACAAAGAACUUUUUAGUCAUUCUUUUCUGUGAAAAAGAUAAGGUUUAGAGGAUAGUUUUACCCUAUGAACCAUCAAGGUAACAAGUUCAGAACUUUUUCAGAGCAUUAACCAACUUAAAACUCAAAAAUAAAUAUAUUUGUUCCUUGAAUUUAAUACUAUUUCAAGUUAUUUAUUGUCUUAGGUCAUUUAAUAUCUUUCUCAUGAAUAUAUUAACUUUAUAAUCGAAGGGUUUUUAAGUCCUUUAAGCUGUGCAUGUACUAAAGCUUUUAUCAUAAGUCUGAAAUUCUUUAGAUUAAGAAGAAGAAAUUCAAGCACAUUAAGAUAUUAAUUAACCAUUAUCCAAAACACUAAAUAACUUUUUUAUUUAUAUAUCUUGAAUUUUAGAACAUCAUUAACUAUAAAACUGAAUUAAUAUUUUAUUUACAGCUAAGAUUAAUUUAUACCAUCUUUUUUUCUAAUCAAAUAGUUGUUUUAAGUAUUUUUUACUAAAUAUAUUUUUAGUUUCUGUUACAAAUUAUUUAGGGAAAAGGUAACUUUAUGUUUUAUUAAGCACUCAAAAUCGGAAAUCACUUUUCAUAAUAUGAAACCUAAGCUGACAUAUUAUUGGAAUCUUAAAACGUGUUGUCGCCUAAAGCAUACCAAAGUAGCGACUUGUUAUUUUUAUUUUUUUCCAGCCCACAAUCCAUGUUUCAAAAAAAAGUACAUGUAGCCCAAAACUAAGGGAAUAAAGUACGGAAGUAUUUGGGAACGCGGUUUAAUUUGUAUUUUUAAAAAAUUUGAAAUUUUUUUUGUUAAAAUUUAAUAUGGUUUGUAUGUUUUGGAUCGUUUUGAUGUACUGAUGUUAAAAAUGAUUUUUAAAAAAUAAAAAAACAUCAUUGACAUGCAUUUUGACAUGAAAAGUUAUUUAAAAAGUAUCCACAAUCAUACUGCCAAACAAGCUCUACAUAUGCAUUUGUCAUUCUCUGAGUCAGCCGAGUAGAAAAGGAAGCCACAUCAAUUCGGAGAAGUGCUGUUCCAUGCCAUGCAUCCUGGUCAAAAGAAGAUCAAUUAAUUUGCUACUCCCCGUGAAGCCCUAGCAUGAACAAUCACGUCAAUUACUAGACCAUUGAUCAGCUCACUCUCAGCAGCAUAACACUUUCGGUAAUAUAUAUAACUUCACGGGUUGAUUUCUACACUCGAAGACUCAUUAAUGAGGUUCAAAUUAAUUAGUUAAUUAGGUCGAAGAAUCUCUCCUGACUGAUUGUAUGCUAAGAACAUUUAUUUUGGCUCAAAAUAUGUCAGAACACCGUCUACACAUCAUGGAUUACUGUAAGUUUUGUAGUGGAGAGAUUGGUUUGUUCUUGCUUCGUGCUGAAUGAACUUGUUUCUUCUUGCUCGAGCCAGCUCUUCGAAGACAAUAUUUCAAGUAACAGCAGCAAAUGCUAGCUAGUGAUAUAUAUAUAUAUAUAUAUAUAUAUAUUUGAAUGGUAAAAUAAAUUAAUUGAAGGAUCAGGGUUAUGAUGGCUUGAAAUCUCGGGCGUUGACAUGUCCGUAUGAAUAUUAAUUGAAUAUAUAUAUAGUCCUCAAAAAACCCUUCAGUCCUCUUUGACGUCUCCCUUGUUCCUUGGUCAGCAUUGAUCUACAAUAAUGAAACUCAUAAUUUACAGAAAUCUUUUUUUAUAUAAACAAGGAGGGGUAUGCACAUGUUUAUGAGCAUCCCUUACUCCUAGGCCUGAAAUUUUUAUUAAUACACCGAAUUGUUUGAUGCAUGUGUUUCAGGAUGGCGGCCGAUCGAAUUUUUUUUUAUUAGGACACUCACACAUGUAUGUAUGUAUAUAUAAAAGCAGAGUAUUUAACUGCUAUAAUAUAAACCCAUCAACAGAGUUUUAAUAUUUCGUAUUUUUUAAAUUAACCUUGAUCGUAGUGAAAGCAGGAUCAGUUUUUCCUAAGCAAUCUGGAUCUGUGAUUGGAAUUUUUUCUCCAAGUGUUGCCAAUUACCCACAUUUUUUUUUAUCUAUAUAAGUUAUGCUUGUAAUUAUUAUAGUGGUUGUUUUUUAAAGUAUUUUUACAUAAAAAUAUAUUAAAAUAAUAUUUUUUUAUAUCAUUAUAUUAAAACAAUACAAAAACAUUAAAAAAAUUAAAAACAUAUAUUAUUGCGAGAUAAACGCACCAUAAAAAGAUAGCUUCGGGCAAAAAAAAGUUGAGAAAGAAAAGAGAAUAUUCAAUUCAUAUUUAUAACUUGUUUUUUAAAUUAAGUUGAUUUUUUUAGAUAUGUAUGAAUAAUUUUGAUGUGUUAAUAUUAAAAAAAACUAAAAAAAAUCAUUUUAAUAUAUAUUUAAUUAAAAAAAAUAGCAACUGCACCCAUCUAUGUUGAAAAUUCUGAACAUGCACAUUGGUAAAACAAUUCAAAUAUUAUACACAUGUACUGUUCUUGUUAAUUUUCAUUCGAUAACAAAAUAUAUUUACAACAUUUGGCUGAUCGAUAUUCUCGAUAUACAUGAAAGUCCCUCGGUGCAAAUAUUCUGGAGGUAAAACCAAUGUCUGCCUAUAAUUAAUCGUUCAAAUUUGAAAUUAUUCACUGAAAAUACGGGCACUAAACUUUGGAGUGACUCCUCCUGGGUCAAAAGCUAACAGGGACAGCAGAAGAACCGGCAAUGGACCACUCACCAGAUAUAUAAGCCUGGGAUACCGCCUGCACAACGCCCUGGUUAGUACGGCUAUGGCCGAACUUUUAAUCUAUGUAUUAUAAAUUCAUUUUAAUCCUAUUUCCAUCGCAGAAACCAGCUCAUAAAAUAUUAUUUAUUAAUUAAUAAUGAAAACUCAUUUUCAAAUAGGGCAAACACCUCCAUCCUGCAAGAAGCAAUCACGAUUCAAAUUCAAACUAAAACAAAUUUGACAAUUGUAUUUACGGAACCCAGUUGUCGUUUAGAAUCGCUUUCUUUAAUAUCUUAAUCUCACCAUUGAGCUUUCUAUUUUCUUUUCCCAGUGAACAUGAUUAAGCUGGCGUUUGUCUUAAAAAAUAUAAUAAAAAAAACCCAGUUGAAGAAAACAAAAUGUUUCUGAAGAUGCAUCCCCAGUAAACAAAAACCCUGCCACUCCGAGCUCUUACCACUGCGCAAAUGGAAAUGUGUCGGGUAAUUUAUUUCUGAAGUACUAGGCUUCUAGACGUGAAAAUAACCUUGCCUUCCAUGUCUGCAGAACUAUAGUCUAGUUCCUUGCAUCAUAGUAAAACACAUCGAUCCAUCUUUCCCUAAACCCAGUCAUGCUAGUGAUCAAUUCUCUGCCCGUUAAGGGUAGUUUAGAAAUAUUAUAAUGAUUAUAGUUUAAAGUAUUUUUUAUCUAGAAAUAUAUCAAAAUAAUUUUUAUAUUUUGUAAAAAUAAUUUUAACAUUUUAAAAAUUAAUUUUAAAUUAAAAAAUAAAAUUUUAAAAAAAUAUAAAUUAAACCCUGUUUCCAAACCAUCUUUAAAUCUUUAGGUUUACUCAGUAAGAUAAACGGUGUACAGUAGCUGAGGGAUUAAAUUAUAAGUUUUCAAACAUGGAAGGCUAUUAUAUGGUUCGAAACCCAAGGGUCACGUAAUUUUAAGAUAUUUCCUUGCUCGAAAGUCAGAUGAUGCUUGAACUUCCACAAAAGCGAUGGAUAGAUGGAGGCCGGCACGAAUGCCCUCGGCACGGUGUAUUAGCAUCAUAGACAUUUGAGUUAUAAAUUAAUAAAUUGCCCAUUUUAUCAUGGCAUUUUAUAUUUCCAUGGCUCGUCAUUUCCUUUCUAGAUAAUCUUGACAGGUUGCCAAAUGAGACGGCUGUAGAAAAUCAUGCCCAGGAGAUACUGUUGAGCGGGAUUUGUAUGUAGACUCUUGCAUGCCGUACAGAGCAUUCUAUAGCAUUUAACAAGUCCAGACUCGAUUGCAAGUCAAGGGUUAAGGUGGGGCUCCACGAACAGCAACUUUCAUCGAAAUUAAUCAUCGGCACGGUCAAUUUAGACGCUUAACGACUAUAUCAGCAAGAUGUAUGUAUACAAACUUGUCCAUGUGAGUCAAUGAUUGCAUGAUUUGGUGUGUCUACAUGUACAAUAGACUUCACCCCAGAAAAAUUAAUUAUAGAUAACACAGAGAGGUUUUAAUUCAAGUGAUGUAAAUUCAAAGCGAUCGAAGAACCUGCCCGUGAAUCCGUGUUGAAUUUACUUGGAUUUAGCCUGAACUCUUUAUGCAGUACAAUAUUCCAUGAGCGAUUGACAAAACUACUUUAUUCGUGGCCUGACAUGAUUAUGCAAAAUGACGACAUCACGAAGACACGGGGAAAAAAAAGGAGGAAAAGGGUGUGGAUAUUGCAAAAAGAAAAAAAGGUUUCUAGAUUCACUCUGCAUUAGCGAUCAUCUCGCCGAAUAAAUAAUAAAUACUUUUUAAUGCGAAUAUCUUGCUAUCAAAUCUAAUAAUUUUAUCAAUAAAAUUUUUGUUGAUAUUUAUAUUAAUAAUUAUUUUACUAAUAGAAUCAUAAAUAAAAACCAUCUGUUAAAAAAAAUUCAUCGGUAAUUUUUGAUCUCAUCAUUACUAAAUUGACCGAUAGCUUAACAGACAGACUAUGCAUACUAAGUGGGUGUUUCUUAUUGUGGUUGCGGGUGAGGUUCAUCCGCAACCACAACUUUUAGUGUUUGGUAAAAUUAAAAGAGCAGUUUUUUUAUCAUGGGAUCCACUGAUAACUGUGGUGUGCCACAGGUUUUUGAGAAGCAGCAUUUUGCUGCUUCUCGUCUAAACAUUAACACCAACAGUGGAGCCAUGCUCCACUGUAACACUGUUCACGUAUUAACGUGAACAGUAUUUUUUUUUUUAAUUUCGAAAAACAAUGCAAAUUAAUUCACUCGCAUUGUUCACAUGAAAUUUUUUUAAAAAAAAAAACCAGUGUAAUUAAUUGAUUUCACUCGCACUAUUCACGUGAACGUGAACAAUAUAUUUUUUUGUUUGUUAAAAAAAAUAGUUUAAGGUGAAUUAAAUUUACUCGUAUUGUAAUCUCAAUUUUAUUCCUGAUAAUAUUUUACCUAAUUUUAUUGCACGCUCAAAAAAUCAUGAAAACUAUCGUUCUUGUCGAAUGAAUUUUGUACGUAAUGAAAUUGUAAAUUUUUUUUAAAAAAAAUUGAGUUUUACUUGAAAAACUAGUAUUUAAUAUUAUUUAUAACACUACAUAAAUUAGAAGGAUAUCGCAUGAUAACAUAGCAUUUGUGAAAUUUGAUCGCAAUUCCAAUUAUGUUCUUGCCGGGUCCGAACCAGUUAAAAAAAUUCAGUUUUUAUUUUUAUUUUAAUUGUGUUUUAUUCAAAAAAUUAGAAGGAUAUCGUUUGAUGACGUAACAAAAAAUUCAGUUUUUGUUGUUGCAUGCUUAAGAAACCAUGAAAAAUAUAGUCAUUGUUGGAUAGAUUUUGUAUGUGAUGACAUUGCAUAUAGUUUAAUGGAAUAAUAAAAAAAUAUUUGAUAUCAAUAUUAUUUAUUUCAUGAUGUAAUAAUAAUAGUUAAAUCUUCAAUAUUUAAAUUAAAAAUAUUUUUUUAAUUAUUUUAUAACCUCAAUUUGAAAAGCAUUUUUUUAACCAAACACAUUAAACUACUUUUUGUUCAACCUCAAUUUCAACCACAGUUUUAACCAAACACCUAUUUUUUCAAACCAACCUCAAUUAAAAGUACUUUUUAUAAAAUAACUUUUUUCAAACCACAACCACAACAGCAACCGCAAUACCAAACACACUCUAAAACAUAAUUACUCGCUUUAAUCUGUUAGGAAUUUCCUUGGUACUAUUGUUUAUCAUAUCACCAAUAGGAUAAUUGUAUAUAAUUCUGUUUGUGAGUUACAAUAACAUUUACAAUAAUUUUUUUUUUAAUUUUUUAAAAUAUAUCGAUGGACUCGGUCUAUCUGUAAUCUCGUCAGUAAUAAUCUAUAUAUAUAUAUAUAAAAUAUUAAACAUGAAUAGAAAGUAAUUAAAAAAAUAAUAUAAAUUUUAAAUAUUUAAAAAUCAAUUAUCUUAAUAUAAAAAUCAAAAUAUUUAUUAUAAUUCUAUAAUCAAUUAUUUAUACCUUACUAGACUCACAGGUAUUUAGACUUAAGUCGAAAGGUGUUGAGUGUAGCACUUUAUCAAAACCUAUAUGUACUUGGAUCUAACGUAUAGCUGAAUGUAAAUAUGUUGGGUUGGCAAUAUGUCAACCCCACAUACACUUGUGUUGAGUGCGUAGAUAAACUUAAAGGUAUUAGGUAAAAUAAAAUACCAUAUUUAUGGAUAUUUAAAUUUAGUAUGCAGCUGGACUAAAAAAUAUUAAAUUUAAAAAUAAAUAAGAUCUGAGCUCGUCAAUCUAUCAAAUGCAUGAAUGAGAUGAUGGGUUAGUAUUCACUUUUUUUACUGUGGGUUUCUUAAACAAAUGAAUUGUUGCUUUUCAUUUUCAAUAACACAAGAACCUUUAAUCGUCAUAGUUGUUGGUCACUUCAUGAUCUGUUUUUAACUAUAGAAUCCCCACUAGCAUUUUUUUUUUUAAUUACAGCUAACAGAGAUAAAUAAAAUAUUGGCAAGAAUUCAGAACGGUAAUAGGAAAAUAAACCAAAUUAUAUAGAAAAAAAAUAAUUCAUGGCACCAAUUCCUUAGUAAAAAAAUCCAUGGCAAUUGAUUUGAAAUAUUUUUCUGUCUUUUUUUCACGCCUGUUUUUGUCGCCACCAUGACGAUGCCAACGGUAAUCCAACAAAACAACAAAAUAAACAUCAAACAAGUACACAAUUAAUUAUGAAUAUAUGUUGGAGAGUGUAAUAAAUAUUUUUAAAAUUUAUUUUUGAAAUCAAUAAAUCAAAAUGAUUAAAAAAUAUUAAAAAUAAUAAUUUAAAAUUAAAAUAUUAAAAUAUUUUAAAAUUACAGCUGGAUUGAAAUGCUAAAUAACACCUUAACCUCAUUGAAAAACCGUCCCUAUUUGAUUAAUUUAUUUUUUUCUGAUAUGAUAUGUUUUCCUUUUCCUCUCAUAUUAGACAGAUAACCAAAAUUCAUUUGAAGAUCUCAUUUCCGAUUUUCUUUCUUCGUUCUUUUCUUCCUUCCCUGAUUUACUCCCAUUAUCUCAUAAAUUAAUUUAAUACUACUAUAUAAAAUAGCACUCGAAAGAUCGUCUAUCCAAAAACAAAUUUAACAAUUUGUCUAGUAAGAGUGAACAAAAAAAUCAAAAAAUCAAGAAAACAGGAAAAAAAUAAUAAAAAAAGCCGAACUGUGAAAAAAAACCGAUUAAAAUUUUAAAAAAACCGGCCGGUCCGGUCCGGUUUUAUAAGCCUAAAACCAAAAAAACCGAACCGAAUCCAAACCGGAAAAAACCGAGCCAAUCCGGUUUGAACUGGUUUUUGUCCUAAAAAACUGAACCGAACCGAAACCGGUCGGUUUGAACCGGUUUCGGUUUUUUUUAAUAAAAAAUUUGGUUUGAUUGCUUUUUUUUUUAUAAAAACCGAACCGAACAAAAAAUAAUCACCACUAUUAUCUUGUGUUUUUUUUUUCUAAUUUAGUGGUUAGAGAAUUAUUAUGCCAGCUCCCAUAAAAUAAAAUUAUUGAGUAUUGAAUUGGAUAAUGUAAAAUCUUUUUUCUUUUCUUUUGUGUGAGUCACGUUGACUUACACAUGAAAUAUUGAGUAUUGAAUUGGGUUGUUUGAGAGUGUGGUUGCAAUUAUUUUUUAAAAUGUUUUUCAUGAUAAAAUGUAUUAAAAUGAUGUUUUUUUUAUUUUUUAAAAAUUAUUUUUAAAAUCAGCGCAUUAAAACGAUUUAAAAAAUAUAAAAAAAUUAAUUUUUAACAAAAAUAAUUAAAUUUUUAGACAUCAUGUUUCUAAACUGUCUUUUAUGCAAAGGGCAAAGGAAGGAGAGAGGGAAAAAGGGCAAAAAUGCCAAAUCAGAAAAAACGUGUUUCGCGGAAAUCGCUAUUCUCAGCACUAGCUCGCCAUCACCUCCACAGUUCAAAAGAUGCAAUUAUUAAUCUUACACUAACAUGUAAAGCUUCCCUUCUAGAAUUUCUCGAGUCAGCGCAAGGAUUUACCACGAAUUUUAAAAAUCCAUGGUCUUCUACAACAAAGGACAAAAAAAUAAAAUAAAAUAAAAAACAAUGCCCCAGGUCAGGUCUUCAAAUCUCAGAGCCACUACUCCUCUCGUUUAUUAUAUUCUUUAACGGUUUGUCACUCUCCGGCACUAAAUUUCCAAGCUGAGCAUUUUGACCAACUUCAUUCAUCUAGAAGGAGGUCUAAUGCGCGUUUCUUACAUAAUAAAAAGGAUUAUUAUUUUUUUAAAGUUAAACAAGGGUGGAUGCUAAAUCUUUCAAAAAAGUUUUAUUUAAACUAUUUAUAUUUUUGAAGUAUUCACAAAUACUAUCAUGUAUACAAAUACUUUCUGUAUUAAUAUUGUUUUUGAUAUUAUUAUGCAGUGAGUCUUUUAAAUUUAUUUUUUAUUUGAAAAUGUAUCAAAACCAUAAAAAUUAUUAAAAAAUAUCAAUUAAUAUAUAAAAAAACAUAAUAAAAAAACAUAAUUUUCAAACACACUUUAAAUGAAAGUAAAUGAACAACAAUCAAAGCAACUGGGUAACAAAACAAUUAAUGUUAAAAAAGAAGAAGGAAAGGCAACAGCAAAAAAACGAAGUCAAAAAAGAAAAAAGAAAAAAAAAAAGGGGGUCAUCCAUUUUAAUCAAAGUCUACGUUCAAAGCGUACAGGAUGCGCCAUCUCUCAUCUCCUGCUUCUUGUUGCUUUCCCUUUCCAAGAAAAAAGAAGAAGAAAACAAUCCAAUGCAAUAAUUUUUUUUUUAUAAUAAAUACUAAUUCAAUGUAAGACCGCCACCAUCCACCUCGACAAUUUUUUCUCUAUCUAUAUUAAAGAGAGUGGUUUGUUUUAGGACGCACUCAAUCUGAUAUACCUCUGUGUCCUUCAAAACAAACUACCCUUGUACUGUCUUACCUUUGUGUUCUUCUUCAAGGGUGGAGAUCACAUCCAAGAAUCCAUGUGAUCAUAGCUUUUAAAGGUGUCUCUACUUUUGUCCAAUCCUCUGUUUUUAGCCGCGUCAAUCUCUCAAAGUUCCUUGCCUUUUCUUUCUUUUCUUGUUCAAUUUUCAUCUUUGUGUUAUUGGGUUAUUGAAUUUUUGAGCUUUUAGGCUCGAAUUCCAACUGGGAUUUUGAUUUUGGUGUGAUUUCUGCUUCUGGGCAUUCCAGUUUUCAUUCAAAGGAGCGGCAUUUUUAGCACUCCUAACUAUAGAACCAAAAAGUUCUGUUCUUUGUUAGAGGAGGAGAGAAAUGGCUGGUGGUGGGAAAAGGAAGAGGUUGAGAUUGAGCAAACUGUACUCGUUUGCAUGUGGAAAGACAUCUUUAAAGGGUGAUCAGUCCCAGAUGGGGUCACCUGGAUUUUCAAGGGUAGUUCACUGCAAUGAACCAGACUGUUUUGAGGCAAAGAUUAGGAAAUAUAGUAGCAACUAUGUUAGUACUACCAAGUAUAAUGUUGCUACUUUCUUGCCCAAAUCAUUGUUUGAGCAGUUCAGAAGAGUGGCUAACUUCUAUUUCUUGGUUGUGGGUGUCCUGGCCUUCACUCCUCUUGCACCUUACACAGCUGUCAGUGCUAUCUUCCCCCUUAUUGUUGUUGUUGGAGCUACCAUGGUUAAAGAAGGUAUUGAAGAUUGGAAGAGAGCUCAGCAGGUAUGAUUUUUAUAUUUCAUCUGUUUUCUAAGUUUGAUAUGUUUAUUGAUUAUGGUUUGAUGUGUUUCAGUAAUGUCUUCUUGACUUGUUCUCAUAGAGAGAAGUUUCAGAUUACUGUACUGAUUGAAUGGUAUUUGUAUGAUUUGAUGAUGAAAUCUUGGGAUAAUUUUGAUACUACUACUGGAAAUUUUCAUUUGUUUCAAAUUACUGUACUGGUUGAAUGGUAUUUGUAUGAUUUGAUGAUGAAAUCUUGGGAUAAUUUUGAUACUACUACUGGAAAUUUUCAUUUGUUUCAAAUUACUGUACUGGUUGAAUGGUAUUUGUAUGAUUUGAUGAUGAAAUUUUGGGAUAAUUUUGAUACUUCAUUUGGAAUUUUUAGUUUUCUUUGCUUGACAUAUCUGGGAAAUCUUUUGCCUAGAAGUUUAAUAAGGUUUUAGAUGACAGUGAUAAACUAAAUGAAAGUUUUGACAUGUUACUGACGGAGUCUUUAGAGAAAAAAAAAAGACCUUUCUUUUUCAAAAAAUUAAGAAUUGGAGAUAGUUGAUAAAUUAUAUCUUCAAUAUGUCUGGGGAGAGAUGGACCGGAACUUUAGCUCAUUUUUAAAGAUUCAUGUCAUCUUUUCCCAGACUUUGUGUAAUUUGUAAAAGUAGUGAAACAUCACAUACAGGAUGAGCCUUCUGCUCUCUCACAGGGUAAUUUGUGCUACACUGUUUAGCAUCGAAACUCCUUUUCCCAAAUAGCAGUCCUGUUUAUAUUGUAUAUGUUUUACCUGCAACUUUUUAAAUGCUUCCAUGUUCUCAUGCAUGUUAUUAGAGAUGUCUAUAUCGAAAAUGAUAAUUAUGCUGAUCAUCCAUCUUCUAUUGAAAUUUCUCAUAUCUGAUCUAUACUUUUGCUUUCGGAAUGCCUUCUCAGGAUAUUGAGAUGAACAGUAGAAAAACUAGACUGCACCAGGGUGAUGGUACUUUCAAAUCCACUGGAUGGAAAAAUCUGAGGGUGGGAGAUAUAGUGAAGGUGAAGAAGGAUGAAUACUUCCCAGCAGAUCUCCUCUUGCUCUCAUCAACUUAUGAUGAUGGAAUCUGCUAUGUUGAGACCAUGAAUCUAGAUGGAGAGACAAAUUUGAAACUGAAACAGGCAUUGGAGUCAACUGCAUUCAUGCACGAGGACUCUUACUAUCGGGAUUUCAAGGCUCUUAUCAAAUGUGAGGAUCCAAAUACAAAUUUGUACUCAUUCGUUGGAACUCUGGACUUUGAACAGAACCUGUAUCCCCUGUCUCCUCAACGGCUUCUCCUCAGAGACUCAAAACUCAGAAAUACGGAGUAUAUAUAUGGGGCAGUUAUCUUCACUGGACAUGACACUAAGGUUAUGCAAAAUUCUACAGCCCCCCCUUCGAAGAGAAGCAAAUUUGAGAAGCAGAUGGAUAAAAUUGUUUACUUCUUGUUCUUUGUUCUAUUUAUGAUGGCAUUUAUUGGAUCUCUUGUUUUUGGAGUUGCAACUGACAAUGACUUGGAUGGCCAGAGGAUGAAAAGGUGGUAUCUCAAACCAGAUGAGUCUACGAUUUACUUUGACCCUAAAAGAGUGGUCAUGGCAUCACUUUAUCACUUUCUGACUGCUCUCAUGUUGUACAAUUACUUCAUCCCAAUCUCCUUGUACGUGUCAAUAGAAGUCGUCAAAGUUUUUCAGAGCAGUUUCAUCAACAACGAUAUCAAUUUGUACUAUGAGCCAUCUGACAGGCCAGCACAUUCUCGCACCUCAAAUUUGAAUGAGGAACUUGGGCAAGUGGACACAAUACUUUCUGAUAAGACCGGAACAUUGACAUGCAAUUCCAUGGAGUUCAUCAAGUGUUCUGUUGCGGGGACUGCUUAUGGCCAUGGGGUUACAGAGGCUGAACGGGGAAUGGCUAUGAGAGAAGGUGAAAGUGUGAAUGGUUGGGAUCAGAGCAAGGAUUCUUCCAGUACAAAACCACAUGUUAAAGGCUUUAAUUUUAAAGAUGAAAGGAUUAUGGAUGGGAAGUGGGUCCAUGAACCCCAAGCUCACAUCAUCGAAAAAUUCUUCCGCUUGUUGGCAAUCUGUCACACCGCCAUACCUGAUGUGGAUGAAGAAACAGGGAAGAUUUCAUACGAAGCUGAAUCACCAGAUGAGGCAGCAUUUGUGAUUGCUGCAAGAGAAAUUGGUUUUGAAUUCUACAAAAGGACACAAACAAGCGUUGCAGUGCGUGAGUACAAUCCAGAGACUGGUAGGAAAGUGGAAAGGGUGUAUACAGUUUUGAAUGUUUUGGAGUUUAACAGUGCAAGAAAGCGAAUGUCUGUGAUAGUAAGAAAUGAGGAGGGAAAAUUACUAUUACUUAGUAAAGGAGCUGACAGGUUUGUGAUCAACUACCUUGAUACCCUUCACACUGGCAAAUUCCUUAUCUUUUAAUCUAUUGCUUAUUAAUUAAAUUAACCUUUAUCCUAUGCAGUGUCAUGUUUGAAAGGCUUGCUAAGAGUGGUAGGAAGUUUGAAGAGGAAACCAGGAAUCACGUGAAUGACUAUGCUGAUUCUGGCCUGAGGACCCUCAUACUUGCCUAUCGUGAACUUGAUGAAGAAGAAUACAGAAUUUUUAACCAGAAAUUCACCGAGGCUAAGAAUUCAGUUAAUGCAGAUCGGGAAUCAUUGAUUGAUGAAGUGGCAGAGAAGGUUGAGAGGAAUCUAAUUCUUCUUGGUGCAACUGCUGUUGAGGACAAACUCCAAGAAGGGGUGAGUAAGAAAACCUAAAAUGUUUUGAAAUAAACUAGCCUCUUUAGAGAUUUUGAAUUUAUUUUUCUAUUGUACCCAUUAGGUUCCUGCCUGCAUAGACAAACUUGCUCAAGCUGGAAUUAAGAUCUGGGUUUUGACUGGAGACAAAAUGGAGACUGCCAUCAAUAUUGGGUAUGUUAUUUUGAAACGGGUGUUUGUUUUGAUGCGUUUAAGAUGGACUUUACAGUUUGUAUCAUACGUGGAGGUGUCUGACUUCAAAAUUUGAAUAUGCAGCUUCUCCUGUUGUUUGCUUAGACAAGGAAUGAAGCAGAUCAUAAUCAAUUUGGAGAAUCCAGAGAUCCUAUCAUUGGAAAAAACAGGAGACAAGGAUACCAUUGCUAAGGUAAAGACUGCUUUAAUUCAUCAUGGAUUUCAAUCCACUUCAGAUUACUUGUGAUAGGGAUUUAUUUUCCUUUUCUCUGGGUGUCAUCUUGGUGGGAACAAGGGGAUGUUGAAGUUGAAGAUGCACCUUAAAUUAUUAUGAAUCUAUAUGUGAUAUUGAUGGGAUACAUGUUCAUUUUCCAGGCAUCAAGGGAAAAUGUUCUUCGUCAAAUAACUGAUGGAAAGGCUCUGCUUACUGGACCAAGUGGAACCGCUGAGAUAUUUGCAUUGAUAAUUGAUGGAAAAUCACUUGCUUACGCAUUGGAGGAUGAUAUGAAGCAUUUGUUUCUAGAUCUUGCUAUGAGUUGUGCUUCUGUGAUUUGUUGCCGUUCAUCACCAAAACAGAAAGCACUGGUGGGUUAUCAUUCUUUCUGUAGUUUUUCUCUUCUGUAGGCGCAUUUGUUAUUAGAUACUGAAGACCUUCUAUAUGCUUUUCUUGAAGGAAUAAUUGUUUUAAAUUGUAAAAUACAGGUUACGAGACUAGUCAAAAUUGGAACCAGGAAAACAACAUUAGCAAUUGGUGAUGGUGCCAAUGACGUGGGUAUGCUUCAAGAAGCAGAUAUUGGAGUUGGAAUCAGUGGUGUUGAAGGCAUGCAGGUCCUCUCCACAGAAAAGCUUACAUCCAUUUUAAUUGUUGUAAAUAUUUCUCUACCUGCUUGUAAUUUACUGACUUUUAACCCUAUUUUAUGCCUGUUUUCAACUCAGGCUGCCAUGGCAAGUGAUGUCGCAAUUGCUCAGUUUCGGUAUUUGGAGCGUUUGCUACUCGUACAUGGGCACUGGUGUUACAGGAGGCUCUCAUCAAUGGUAAGGCCAUUUGUACAUUUGGAAUUGGACUUGGCUUCAACAUUUUCAGUAGUAGCCUUAUAUAACUUUAAUGAUUAUUGAUGCACGUCGCAUGCGAUCAUGAGUUUAUUCCUUUUCAUGAUUAUCACUGAUUUUUUUUUCCAUACGCAGAUAUGCUACUUCUUCUACAAGAACAUUGCCUUUGGUUUCUCCAUUUGGCUAUAUGAGGCAUAUACAUCAUUUUCCGCACAGUCUGUAUACAGCGAUUGGUUUUUGUCAUUUUAUAAUGUCUUCUUCACGGCUCUUCCAGUUGCUGCUUUGGGUAUCUUUGAACAGGAUGUAUCUGCUGCAAGCUGUCUCAAGGUAUCUCGCUCACUUACUUUGCAGACUCAAUUAUGGUCAUUAAAUGGUUAGUAAAGUAGAAGUAAACAUCUUGGUCAAAUUUUGGUCAUUUUUUGACUUCUUUCAUAUUUCAGUAUCCUCUACUAUACCAAGAAGGUGUGAAAAAUCUCCUCUUUGGCUGGCGCCGAGUACUUCAUUGGCUGGGUAAUGGGUUCUACACUGCAAUGGUCGUUUUCUUCUUCUGCACAAGUGCACUGCAGCACCAAGCCUUCACCCGUGAUGGAAAAACUGUUGGGAUGGAAGUUUUAGGAGGCACUAUGUAUACUUGCAUUGUGUGGGCUGUGAACUUGCAGAUGGCACUGUCUGUUUGUUACUUCACCAAAAUACAGCGUGGCCUAAUUAUAUAUUGUCUUUGUAUGUUGUACAUUUUCUUCUUGGCAUUUGGGUCCCUGUCUCCAUCAAUGUCAAAAACUGCUUACAAACUCUUCACAGAAGCCCUCGCCCCAGCUGCUUCGUACUGGUUUACAAUCAUAUUUGUGAUAAUCGCAGCACUGUUGCCUUUCUAUGCAUAUUCAGCAAUUGAAACAAGGUUCUUUCCCAUGUACCACCAGAUGAUACAAAGGUUAGAGAGUGGGAAACACGAAGAUGAUCCUGAGUACUGUGAUAUGAUGCGACAAAGGUUAUUGCGGCCACCAACAUCAGUAGGUUUCUCAGCACGCUUGGCAGCACGAGCGAAUAAGUUAAGACGCAAGAACAAGAAUCAGCCACGAUAAUGGCUAAUUAUUCUUGGAGGGUAUCUGUCAAUGUUUCUGGGUUGUGGUCAUCUGCUCAAAAUCCGAGUCCCCGCUGUCUAUGACUUCUGAGGCUUCUACUUGACCAGAAGGUUUGCCCUGCAAAUUAGGAAUUUUUGGUGACUUUUUUUCUGGAAGCAUCUUUCAGCUGUACCAUACGUGGAACAGGAAAAUUAUGCCAAAAGGAAUUUAAAUUUUGUUUGUUGUACUUUUUAAAAGAAAUAUAAUGUUUAUACCGACUUGUAUUAUUUUACAAUGUAUGUAGGAAACAAGGGAAUUCGUAGUAGAUUUGGAAUGUAUUGCUGUUUAUAAGAAUAAACUUUCUCUGUUAUUGUAAUUUGUAGCUCUAUUCAGUUCAUUAUUUGUUGGUGCUUCUUAAUAAACAUGGAUUCUUUUUAAUUGACUACAACUCAUGGAGUAGGUUUUUAUUUUCCCGUCUCUGUUUCUCUGGGCUUGGUAAAUUUGUUGAAUCUCCUGAAGCACACAGCGGAUGUCUUGCUUUUAAUUGCAGUCAGAAAGUUAAAACAGCAGGCGGCCAAACACCCUCUUAUUCUUGGUUGAACAUUUGCAAUAAUCAGUGAUCGGAGCUUGAAAUUCUCGGAAAUAUUGCCAUUUCUCUUCUCCAUCUUGGUGCUCUUGGGCAUAAUGUUGUUUCCUUGGCAAAAAAUAUGGCAAUAAAAUUGCCUGUUCUUUCCCUAUGAAACACCACAGCGGGAGCGGAGCUUGUAAAUGAACUUUCUUAUCUCCCUGGUUUGAUUUCAAGAUGAGUUAGGAGCACAAAAGUUUUGGCCCUAGUCUCAGUGGUUCAGGUUUGAGUUUUAAAUGAGUCAAUUUGAUCCAUAUUAUGUUUUCUUUAUCAAUUUAAACCGUUACUGUAGAUUCUCUUUCCAUCUCUCGCAUUUGAUUAGCAUUUUGUAUUCAACUCUUGAGAGCCCGUUCAGUCAAUUUCUGCAGAAAGCAGGGAUCAUCAGAACAGAAUAUCGAUUAACGGGCAUAAUUUACAUCAUACGGUUGUUUUGUUACUGAAAAAAUAUACAAAACCAGGAUCGAGUGGCUGCUGUGGAUGUAAGUUAUACGGAUAAAUGCAUGCCAUCGGCCAUCAUCAGUAUGUGCAAGAAACCGACAUCAAUAUCUCAAAAAAAGGAGAAAAUAAAACACCAUGCCUUUUUUUUUUAUAUGAUAAAUGAAGAUUUAAUUUAUCCAAAAAGAGACAAGUAGGAAUUCAUCCUACUACAAAGUUUAGGCCAUCAGCAUGUACAUCUUUUAUGUCAACUAGCUAUAACAACAUCCACUGAUUACAAAUAUAAGAAAAACUAGGAUUCAGAUGAGCUUCCUCAAGUAUCUGUGCCUUGUAUAGUUCCCCAAAGCACCUUAUCCUCAGACAAACGAUCAGGAUAAAUAGCACCCACAUAUAGCCAUUUGUAGUCUAAGCAAAGCUUCAGAAAAGAAACUAGGCCAUACCCAAUUGCCAUCUCUCAAGACUGCUAACAACUUAGCAUUAAAUAGAAUUCCAGAUUCGAACAGUAUCCUCUAUCCAUAGGAUUUAACAAGCACACCAUCUGGAUGCCACCACAGUUGAGUAGUUUUUCCAUCUCCCACAAUGUAGUGACUUUGAUCCCAAACAAACUUUCUGAACUUGAGAAGCCUUUUCCAAUACCAAGUGGAGUCCCCUGUUAUUUUCAAACCCCAAAAGCUUCUCCCUUUCAAUCUAUUAACAGUCACCCGCGCUACCAUAGAGAUCCUGCCUUCAUAAACAAAUCCAAAUACAUCUAAAAAUGAAGGCAACAUUCCAUUCUUUGAUCCUUUUUACCCCCAAUCCACCCUCGUGCUUGGGCAACGUAACUUUGCUUCAAGCAACUUUAGCUCCUCUGGCAGGCCCCUCUUUAACCUUCCAUAGAAAAGCAUUACACUGCUGCUCUGUAACCUUCAUUACUCAUGCUGGCAACAACACCGAUAGUUCUGAAUGCUAAAGAUGACAGAUGAUAUUAACUGUAAUCUUCCAGCAAAUGAAAGAUUUUUUUUUUGCCCAUUUCUGAAGUCUUGAAGAUAUUCUGUCCAGUGAAGGCUUGCAAUCUGUGUAAGCCAGCUUUUUCGUAAUUAACGGAACACCCCAAAUAUUUUACAGGCAGUUUACCAAUCUUGAACCCAGUAACAACCAGCAUAGAAUGAGAAAUAGAAGCAUCUACCUCAGCACAGAAAAUUCACUCUUCAAAGGAUUGCGCUUUAAUCUAGACAAACAAUAGAAUUGAUGAAGGAUGUCUGCAACUUUUUCAAGAGAAUCCACUGUUCCUGUUGUAAAGAUCAUUAAAUCAUAUGCAAAACACAAAUAAGUAAGAUUGAUCUUUUUACAUUUGGGAUGGUUAGACAGUUGGCCUCCCAUAGCUGAUCUAUUUAGUAGGCAAGAAAGAAUCUCCAUGGCAAAUACUAACAAGUACGGAGACAAUGGAUCUCCUUGCCUCAAUCCUUUACUGCCAGAAAAAAUAUCUGUGCAAGCUUCCAUUAACCACAAUAGAGAAAGAUGGAGUUGUAACACAGCCUUGAUCCGAGCAAUGAAUUUAGCAGGGAUAUUAAUAGCUUCUACGAAAUUAAACAGAAAAUCCCAAUGUACGGAGUCAAAAGCUUUCAUCAAGUCAAUUUGAGAGCACAACUGGGAGGCCUAUUUUUCCUAAGAUAGCCUUUCACCACUUCCUGAGCAAUCAAUAUGUUAUCUCCUAUUCUCCUGCCAUAUAUAAAUGCAGACUGGUUUAAACUAAAAAGAUAAGGAAGGAAAACUCUUAGCCUAGUGGCUAGUAUCUUAGUGAUGCAUUUAUAAAAAACUGUGCAGCAAGAUAUAGGCCUUUUUGGCACAAGAGUAAUAACUGUGGAAUUUACUGCUUUAAGCAACUUUCUUUGUUGAAAGAUAUUAGAUACAGCUGCAACAACGUCUUCACCGACAAUAUUCCAAGAUUUCUUAAAUAAAUCAGCUGAGAAUGCAUCAGGGCCAGGUGCCUUGUUACUUUUUAGAGAAAACAUGACUUUCUUAAAUUCAGGAGUAACAUCAGCAAUCAUUUAUUGCUUCAAAUGAUAAGAAAGCCUCUUAUUCAAGAUGCAUUAAAAAAAAGCCACACUUUCACCGGAAACUGCAUUAUCCAUAUCACCCAGCAACUUUUGAUAAAAACCAAUUAUCUCCACUUGAAUUUCUAGAGGAGAAGAUAAUCCAGAUCCAUAAGAAGCAUAUAGAAGUGAGAUAUUGUUCUCUUAUCCAACAUGGAUUUUUUUAAAAAAAACAUCGUACAUUGCCAUAAACAUAGUUCUAUAUAUUUUCAGUUGUAGAGUUUGUAUCCCAUGGUCUUAUUCAUAGCAAUCCAUUUACAGACUAACAACUACCCUUUUGCCCGUGGAUCAUUGGAUCUAGUUUCGUGCAUUCAGAGGCCGAAUUGCUUUCUCAAUUGCGGACCCUGGACCUCGAAUGAUAUCGCAUCCGGUUUCCGUACUUUCAUGGAUUGGUGAUGCCGCCAGUAAUGUCAUGUGUAGCAGAAAAAUUAGUGAAGAAAAUCUUGGAAACUAGUAGAUAAAAUGUUAUUUUCAUGUUAUUUCGUUUUGCAAAUAAUACCAACCACUACAAUAAAUAUAACAUCAUACAAUCUACAAGUUGUGUUGAUAGUUGUUUCAAGUGGGAUUCAGGUCUCUUCUCCUCCUUCCAUCUUGUUCACAGGAAUCCCAUGACCAGACCUUAAAAAAUAUUACAUUUACACAUACAAGAAAUUACAAGAAAAAUCAAAUGGAAAAAAAAGAAAUAAAUAAAAGAAAAGGUCAUAGGAUCAUCUCAAACCAUCAAUGAUGCUAACGACACAUUAAUGGAUAUUGCAGUUCCCAAUGUCUAUGUCCAUGUAUUAACAAGACUAUUCUCAUCAUGCUCAAUGGAACUUUGAUGCCAUGAAAAUCAGCAGCGGAUUUAGCCAUGAUGUUUGCAAACUCGUCAAAACUCAAAACACCAUCUCCAUUGGUGUCAGCUCUCUCAUCAUAUCUGAUAUAGCUCACGAUAUUUCAAAGGUUGUCCCAUUUUAGCCAUCGAUCCUGCAAGCUCAGCAGCAGUAAUGAAUCCAUUGCCAUCCCUAUCAAAUGAUCGAAAAACCUCCAAAAACUGCUCCUGGUUGAUCAAGACUUCUUCAUUCAUAUCAGGCAAUAUAGCAUUAACCAACUCAUUAAAUUCAAUGUGACCAUUGCCAUUAGCAUCCAUGUUAGAUAACAAAGCAUGAAGCUGAUAACCUGUAGGUUUGAGGCCAAGAGAACGUAGAAGAGCAGCGAGCUCUAGAUGCGUAAGGAUGCCAUCGGAAUCCAUAUCGAAGCGCAUGAAGACUUCCUUGAACUGAUCGGUCUGAGGGGUUGCCAUCAUGGCUGGAAAUGGAGGAGGUGAAAGAAAAGGAAAGGAAUUUUUUUUUUUAUGUAUCUGUAUUUUGGCUGGCCAAGGAUGUGGGGCUUAAUUUUUAUUUUAUUUUUCUUGUUCGUGUGUUGUCUUGAAGACUUGGAAUACUGGAAUGGUUCAAACCAAAACCGCUUUUAUAUCAUUGCCGUGUUAUGUGGGGAUAAAAAGAGCAAAGGUAUUCAAGUAUUGAAGUUUCUGAAAAUGUGUUUGUGCACAUGAGGGCAUGUGGAUUGGUGGUAUAUCCUAAGAGAUUUAGCCUGCUUGUUAAAAUGUUUAUUCUAGCACUUGCUAACUAUAUUUGUUCUCCAUGUUGUCAUUUAAGAUUGAAGAUGAAAGAAAAAUGACAACGAAUAUGGAUAUGGCUUGCUUAAAAUUCAACAGAAAGAAAGAUUUAAUCUUAGUGUGCAGAAACUAGAUUAAAUAUAUCCUCGUUGUUUUAUUGAAUGGACUGUCCUGGGUAGCAUGGGUUGAAAGUUAUUUCUCCCGUUGAAUGUUCAUAUUUCUGAGAGAAUUCAGAGCAUUUUGUGGUCAGUAGUUGACAAGCAAAAACUAUUCAGGAAAUCAAGCCAGUUCUUAAAACCAACAAUUAAUCAAACCCCAUCUGAAAUGAUUCUCAUUCCAAUACACCCCCACGACAUUAAUUGUGGAAAAUUAUUGCAUAUGUCCAAUGCAGCUUGGAACCUUCUUAGAAAAUCACCACAUUUAUCCUUUAUGAUUAAGGGUACUGAAAUUGUAUUUUGCCGAUAUUGGCAUUCUAGUCUCAUUGUUCAUGUAAGAGCAAAAUAGCCUAAUGAUGAGUAAAGAAUGACUUGGAUGCAAAUUUCUAAUCAAGUGGAACUACUACGGAUAUAUACAAUAAAUUGGAAAUGGAACUUACUUUUUUGCUUUAUUAAUAUGAAUGCCUGAAAGAUGUACUGAUUGUUUCAACCACUUCAAACUGUGCAAAACUUAAAUCAAAUUCCUGCACAGCUACUAUACAUGCUGGAGAGGUCCCUGAUCCAACCCUACCCCAAAAGCUUCCGAAAGCAAACUCCCCCUUCUGAGAAAAACCUUCUAAGACUUCCUCAACUUCCUCAAUGCAGCUCUCACAAUCAUGCCCUCCAUGGAAGUCAUCUACUUGGAUUUCUAUAGACCCUUCUAGAAAUUUAUCAAAACUAUCCUGGAACCUACCCCUGACCGAUUCUAAUAUCUUCUCUUUCUUUCUGUGCCAAAGCUUCUUCUUAGCAUAUGCUCUGGUCUUCUGAAUGACUUUGCGGGGAAGUUUGAGCAAGACGAAUAUGAUCGAUUGUAGUAUCAAGCAUUGGCAGCAACAAGAUAUGACUACACAAUCUGCGGCCAGCAUGUUCAGAUCUUCCAUGGAUGUCAAAGAUGGGAGAAGGAAGGGGAUGAUGUUGAUGAAGAAGAAUGGUUGAUGAAGGUAUGUCUUGAUAAGGAAUACGUUCCUUGUCCUCAUUGGAGGUUAAUCAGAAAGGGUAAAGCAAACAGAAUGAUAUGUGGCAAAGCUAAAAAAAGGGAGGCAAUUAGUCAUGAAUUAAAAGAUUACAUGCUGCAUUUCCUGAAAUGCAGCCAUAGCUUUUAGUUUGGGUCAUUGCAUACAAUAGAAUAUUGGACGUAAAGGGAAACAUAGGGCGUCCAGAUGUUGUUGCUUGAAACAUACUUUUCUUGGGAAUUAGAUGGUUGCUUGUAUGACCUCAAGCCUUGCCUUGAGUGUUUUGAAGUGUCUUCAAGAUUCUCUCCCCUACUCAAGAAUUGAAAUUAACAAAAAUUAGUCACUGUCUAUGCGAUGGCUUUCUUCACAAGCUUUUCCCUCGAGUUAUCCGAACUUGGUUCCAUUCACUUUACAUGGUUCGUAAGUUUAACAUUAUCUCUCUGUCGGAAUUUUUUUGUGGUCCUUUAUCUUGGAUGGUUGUAUGUAAGAAGUAUGUAACAUUUCCUUUUCCGCUAAGAAAUUAUGGGUGUGCAUUUAUUCUUCUAAAACGAAUUACCUGAACACUCUAAAAAAACUUAGUUUUACUGUUCAGCACUAUGAUAUAUUUUUUUAACCCAGCUAUGAUGUGGGAAAACCAAUUUAACCCAGCUACCAGUAUUAAGGGCUUGAAAUCCAAUCCCUACAGCAGAGAGUUAAUUUCAGAGACCAUCCUGUACAUCUUGAGCUUGUAUAGGCUCCAUCUCGAAAUUCAUGAGUCCUGCUGCUGUUUGUCGAAGAAUUCAUCUCUAACACUAUUUACCAUGUGCUCUUUAAGUAUCCGGGCUAAAAAAAUCUGUACUGUAAUUUUGACUACCAAAUGCCAUCCUUCGAAAUAGUCUGAUUUCUUCAGAUUGUUGUGCAGAGUUAAAUAACUCACUUUCUCCUACUCUCAUUCCAUUGGUUAGAUCAGCAUUUGCCAAGGUAUGGAAAGCUCUAACAACCUGAGAAGCAUAUGCAGGCUUAAAGAAAUGCAUCCCACCAUCUCCAAAUCUGAACAUUUAAUGAUAAAAGCAAGAUUUUUCAUCUAGUUCUGCGAUCAAAUUGCAAUUACCUGUCCCAUCCGUGGCCUCUUAGUAGCUGAAUGCCGCACACAGACUGCAGCAGCCUCAAUCAUCUGGAACAUUUCACUUUCAAUGUAAUUCUUUUCAAGCCGUGGAUCUGCCAAGCUUUCAAAUUCCUCAUUUUCUAGUGCAUGAUUUAGCAAAGGUCGAGCCUGAAAGAAAAGGUACGCUUUGGGUGAGAAGAUUUCGAGAACAAAAUUGUGGAGGAUCAAAUACUAGCUUAACAUAUAGAUCUAUUUCUUUGAACACGUGCAUUUUUUUUCCCUUUCUUUUUCUUUAUGUAGAUACAAAAGGAGAUUACAUUAUUGAAAAGAGAACAAAAGAAAACUACAAAAAGCAGGAUUAUGUAUUCUCCACCAAAAAGAACAGAGAAGACGAAACGACGUCAAGACAAUUUUUAAAGACAUACCAUUGUUUCAACUCUGUGCAUUUGUUUUAUCAGUUACCCAUUUUUUAUCAUUCAUGCACUGAGGAAUAUCAUGAUCAUGUACUGAAUUUAAUUCAAGGUUCAGAAAAAUUAGUCCUAGAUCUGGGAUGGCUUUCAAUUUUCGAUGUACUGAGUUAUUUUCAUCAGUUAAAAAUCUAUACAUGAUUAGAGGCCACAGUCCACAGAACCCCUUCCCCCCACCGUGCAUAUACUAAGGAACAGCAUCCACUCAUCAAGCAAAUCUUCCAAACAACCUAAUUCUAAAAUAAGCACACCUGUUCCUUAAAUCAAACCACUACGGGUAUAUAUAAGAAGUUUAAAACAAACUCUCUUCGAAACAGAUCUAGAAGCCCUGUUUCUAUUACUCUUGUAACUAAUGUUCUAAAAAAUGUGACAGUUUCAGCAACAUCUACUGGUAUCAAAGCUAAGCAGUCAGAAACCAUAAAAACUUUUUACUCAAACUAAGCCAUAUCAACACAUCACAGAUAAGUAGCAACUUCAGGAAAAAUGAUCUGAUUGAGUUUAUCAUUUAUGCAUGCUGAAAUAAAAGGCACAUCUAUAGGAUAGAUCUGCUCAGCAGACAAAGAAAGCUAAGCACAAGGUCAAUACAGAGAGUAAUUGAUCUGUCAAUAAAAUUGUCAUUCAAGCCCUUAAUACUUGUAACUAGGUUAUUGGAUGUAUCUAUAAUGCAUGCUUCAAUGAACAAUCAACAAUUCAUUAAAACUGAAUGAGACUUUCUUUCAUCAGCUGAACAGUCAGGGUGCACAAACAAUUUACCCAUUCAACAAGACUCUCGUCUCCCACGGGCUGCGAUGCAUCCACAGGCUUCCGUCCAGUGAUUAGCUCCAGAAGCACAACUCCAUAAGAGAACACAUCAGAUUUAUCUGUUAAUUUGCCGCUUGAUGCGUAUUCAGGGGCCAUGUAUCUGAGCAAUCAAUUAAACAUUAGAUGCAAUGCACAUAGACAUGGCUGAUAUAUGUUCAUUCCACUGGAAAAGAAAAUAACACACAGCUGUACUUCAAAAACAGUAUUCCCAUCAACUCCCAACUGACUGAAGCCCUCCCUCCAGAAAAAAAUAAAAGAGAGAGAGAGAGAGAGAGUAGGGGUGCCUCUAAGUAGCCCUGUAGUGGCAGGUAUUUAAGCAAAUAAUAGGUGAGUUAUUACCCAAAGGUUCCCAUAACACGCGUUGUUACAUGAGUGUUUGUAUCGAGAGCUAAUUUGGCAAGCCCAAAGUCUGAAACCUGCAAAGUAAAAUCUAGAAGCAUUUAAACAACAAUCUACUUGAAACUAAUCAUCAAUAAAUGGUAAAGGGAAAACUGUGAAUAAUCAGAAGCUAAAAACCAUGCAUACCUUAGCUUCGAAGUUGAUAUCUAAAAGAAUGUUUGACGACUUAAUAUCCCUGUGAAUAAUCCGAGGGUGACCUAAACAUAUAAUAGUAAAUCAAAUGAAUAAUACCUACUACACCAUCUGCAGUCGAUUAAGUGUUUUCAUUCAAUAUUUUAGUGUAAGAAACCAGUGCAUCUAUCAAUGAUCACAUGGAUGAGUUCUUAUCAGCAUGUUCUUAACUCUAGGAACAUCAGUAGUACUAAAACUGGCAUGCUCAUACUAAUCUUGAUUAAGAUGAAAUUCUGCUUAUGCUUUUAGGAUGAGAAUAUUGUAAAAUCCUUCAGUUAUUAGAUCUUUGUUUUUUAUUAGUGAAUGUUGGAUCAUAACAUUUGAAAAUGAAGAGCAGGUACGAGUGGAUAGCUUAAGAAAACAGUUGCCAUGUGUAGAUAAAGAAUAAAAAACAGGUGAAUAAUGUCUUGAACUCAUUUUGGAAGUGAGAGUGAACAUUAUCCAGCUACUAAAAUCCAGACUUGAAAUACUUACAAUCUUCAUGGAGAUAAGCUAACCCCCGAGCUGCACCAGCAGCAAUCUUAACACGUGUUGCCCAGUCCAGAGCUGGCCUACCCACCUCUACAGAAAGAAAGACCAACAUGCAUGACUGAUGAACCAUUUUGAUGAACUGACAUGCCAAAUCUCAGUUAUAAGACAUAGCUUUACCAUGAAGAUGGAAAUGAAGGGUAUUGUUAGGGACAUAAUCAUAUACGAGCAAUCUUCGGGUCUCAGAUAUGCAGUAGCCCACAAGUGAAACCAAAUGGCGAUGGUGUAUACGACUAAUAAUCUCGACUUCAGCUUUAAAUUCUCGCUCACCUUGCCCUCCACCAAUUUUCAGCUGUUUCACUGCCACGUCUCUCCCAUCUGGUAGGUAACCUUUAUAUACAGUACCAAAUCCACCUUCUCCCAAAAGGUUUUGGGAUGAAAACCCAUUUGUCGCCUUGACUAGCUCUUCAAACGCAAACAAAGGCCCUGAAUUACCUAAUCCACUUGAUUCAGGUGGCAAAGAAAAACAAUCACUGCUAGAACCACUUGCUAUUAGGGGAGCUGUAGACUGAGUCUUUGUGAAAGUUGAACCUGAGGAGACAAAUUUAAACCUUAGAGUUCUUGUCAACAAUAUCAUUCAAAGUGCUUAACAAUAAUCUCAUUAAAUGCAAGUCUGCUAGGAAUAGAUUACCGUCUUGAUAGGUGAGCUGACAAUAAAUUAACCAAUUAUUUGUAUUCUUUUAAGUUUUAAGGUCAAAAUGACCAUAUGAUUUACAUAUAACCCUUUGUAUUUGUUAGACUAUUAACCAGAAGAUAUGCUCUAGAAAAAUUUGAUUGCAAAUCAGACGCAGUACAAAUUGCAAAGGUUAUAUCAAAUUAUGAGAACAAACACCAAUGAAAGUUUUGGACGUGACAGAGAAAAAACCUCUUGGCAGAGUUACCAAUAGCAGUACUUAUUGAAUAUGAGUGAUACUGUUGCAAAAAGUCAUAACAUGUUAAAGAAGAAAUGGCGAAAUGCUGUUUGAAAUAUAUACCUGAUCUUGGAGAAGAGCCCAAAGAAGAUGGCAUAACAUAAACACCAUUCAGUCCAGAAAUCUCUUUUCGCUGCUUCCUCAUGCACCAGAGAGCCAAUCCAACGAGGAUGAGCAUUAUAAUUCCUAUUGCUGCACCAAUAGCCACUAUACCUCCAAUACCAAUGCCCCCAUUACCUGUGGAGUUUGAACUCUCGGGUGAAUUAGGGGCAGUAUUGUUCGUGGGUGAUGGCGGGGAAACAAGUGAGGGUGGAGGUGGAGACAGUCUUAUUGUUGGUGGUGACAAUGCUGGUGGAGUAGAAUAUGAUGGGACAGGUGGUGGUAGAGGAGCAGUUGCAGUUGGAGGAGUAAGCAUAGGAGGUGGCGGCACAUUACUGGGAAGAGGGGCUAUUGAUGCUGGUGGAGGUGGUGAAUUCUCAGGUGGAGUCGAUGCUGGCGGUGGAUGUGAUCUUCGAGGAGGUGAGACAGAUGCUGGUGGUGGGGGAGGAUUGGUAGGCAGUUGUGAUGGGGUUGGAGGAGGCGGUGGUGGUGAAUUUUGAGGUGGCCUUGAUGAGGGUGGUGGUGGAGGUGAACUCUGAAGUGGCGGUGUUGAUGGUGGUGGUAAACUUUGAGGUGGUGGUAUUGAUGAUGGUGGUGGAGGGGAACUUGUAGGUGGAUUCACCAGUGGUGGUGGAGGUGAAAUUGAAGGUGGAUUAGAUGAGGGUGGUGGUGGGGGUGGGGGUGAGCUCACAGGCGGAGUUGCUGAUGGUGGUGGAGGAGAAUUGGAGUUGGGUGCACUACCGGAUAAAGGUGGAGAUUGCGAUGUCGUGGGUGGAGGGGUUAGUGGUGUGGCAGGAGGAGGAUUUGAAAGAGCGGGAGGAGCGGGUUGAGGUGGCGGGGGUGGAGUUGAAGGGUUUCUUGGGUUUGGUGGAUUGGCAUUGGGCUGUGAAGAUGGGGAAGUAGGAGGAGGAGGAGAGGAGGCUGGCGGCGAUGAGCUAGUAGUGGAUGGCGGGGGUGGUGUACUGUUUGAAGGUGAUGAAACAGCCAGGGGGGGUGAAUUUGGGGAUGGAGAUACAGUUGCCAUUACUUCAGAUCCAAAUCAAGUGAUUUUGAAUUACAAGUCAUGCAAUAAUUAACAUCACAAAAUUUUAAACCUCCAUUAAUUUUUCACUAUGUUUUCUCAAUUCAAGUACAGAAGGGUUUUUUUAACAAAACUCACAGAUCAAUUUCAAGAAGAACUUCCAAAAUUUACAAACUUUAAAACCAAGAGAGAUUCAAAUCACCGAACUUAACCAACUAAAGCCUGAAAAGUCACCAAACAUUCACAACAACCACUUUGGAGCCAGAACCUGAUCGCCUGGGCUAUUCAGCUAAACCCAGAACUCCAGUCUCUUUCCAGCUAAAACCCAGAUCACAUAUAUCACAAACCAAACCAAACCACAUCACUAGAGCAACCUUUUAAGCAACGCCCAUGUUACUAGAUUUAGUGUAAAAUAAAAAAGAUUCAGACUUUGAUCAGUAAACUGACUCCAGCAACACCAAUAAGAUCCUCUACAUUCAAUGAGAAAAUGCAGCAACACUUGCACCGUUGGUUUUUCUACAAACAAGAAACCGCGUGCCAAAAGCCCGAAAAACUAAAAAAAAAACAAAAAAAGGUACAAUUCCUCAACUUCUUCGGGUCAUUUGCGUUGCAGCAAAACUCUCUAGCACUCUUAAUCUCUGUCUUCCCUACAUAGGAAGUUCAAAUGAGGAACAAGAAGCAGCGAUGAUAGAGACCCUCAAAGCAGAAGAAUACUGAGGCAGGUUUUUUUAGCAUGAAUAGUAAACGUUAAGAUAUUUUUAAAAUCUUCGUAACGUAAGUGGUUGCGCUGCUUGUUAUGGGGGCGCGUGCAUACACGCUUCGAAUUUUGAUAUUAAUAUUUAAAAAGAAAACAUUAAGUUCUUUAAAAUAACAUGAAAAACAUUUUCUUAAGAUAAUUGAAAAAAAAAUAGUUUUAACUUCUUAUUAGCGAGGAAAUCAGAGCAUUAUCGUCGCCGUCAUGAUAAUAUUAUUAUUAAGGGUCCAUUGAUGCAAAGCACUGUCUUUGUGGUAACGUCAAGUCCAAGAUACACCGUAUGAACACGUGAAUUUUUAAAAAAAUAUAAAGAUGUCUGUCUUUAAAUUCAUCUGCAAUUAGAUUUUUUAUAUUAAUCUUGAGUAAAUGAUCUAUGUUUUGGCUUGUACAUUUAUAAAUCUUGUUUUCCAUUAUUUUUAAAAACCCUAAUAAAACUGAAUUCUGAGAGAUAACAUACGGAAUGAGCUCAUUCAUCGCAUUGGAAGGAGAAGAAAAGCAAAAAGAAUUGUUCAAGGUGAAGUGAAAGGUCUUCUUUCAUUGCUAAAUGUUGCUCUCUACGAACCGUGGACUCUCUUUUUUUCGGGUCUUUGUAUAUCAUAAAGUUAUUCCGUUCUUGAUGUUAAAACGACAGGUUUGAUAGAUGGAAGAGGAAAAAAACCCACCUUCCCCACAGAUAAUGAUUUCGCCUUCAAGCCUUGUUUGAUCCUAUAAACUAAUCCUUAAUGAUAUGUAAUAUGUUGUCUACUUAGACUUUUCUUUUAAUUUUUUUUUAUUAUUAAUAUGGGUGUCUGUGUUAGCUUGCGUAUAGCUCGACUGAUCCCACAGUCCCUGAAGUUAACGAUUAUGUAAAUCUUCGGUGGUCUUGAGAGGGCUCGAAUUCGUGAUUAUUAGGAAGCAAACUCAAGGUCUGACCAGUUGAGUUAUCUCUCAAGGUUCUUUUAAAUUUUAAUUUGUAUUGCAGUAGCGGUUGAUUUUUAAAGUUUUUUUAAAAAAAAAUAUUAAAAUAAUAUUUUUUUUAUUUUUAAUAUAGCGCAUCUAAAUGAUAUAAAAACACUUCAAAAAAAUAAUUUGAAAUAAAAAAAAUUAAAAAAUAUAUUUUUAAAAUACAAAAACAAACAUUCUCAUACAAAAUUAUUGAAUUAUUUGCUUCUUUGAUUCAACAUGGUGAUGACAAGCGUUGUUUCAUUUUAAUUUUCUCCAAUUAAAGGAACAAAUCAACACUGAUUGAUCUUGUAUAUUAUUUAUUAACUUAGAAAUACCCUCUGAUGAGUUCGAGGAGAUGCUCGGAGUAUAAUAUCGAGUAUGUUGAACUUUUUUUUUUAUUACUGAAAAACAUGACUCAAUAUGCAGCGCACGGGUGAAAUAGCCAGUAGAGACUAUUGGCAGCUUUAUCCACUUCAAGCUGAAGCUGUAGGUAAAGGAAGUGAGUGGAAGCUGGAAGGCAGAGAAAUUUUAAUAAAGAAGAGGAAAUAUGCUAACAUCAGGAUGGAAGAAGAGGGUCUCCCAAACACACACUGCCCGACCGAAAGGACAAAAAAUCUUAAGAGGUGGUGGCGGGCCUUUUUUGUCCAAUCAUAUUUGACAUAUCUAUGCCAACCCGUGAAACUUCAAAGUUUCAUCUUUCUUUUUUUUUUAAAUAAAAUAAAAUUCAAUUUGUCUAGACUGUGUCUGUUUUUUAGUGAAAAAAAUAUUUAAAAAAUUAUUAUUUUAAUAUGUUUUAAAGUAAAAAAUCAUUUAAAAAACAACCGCAAAUAUAAUACUAAUUCAGCUCUUAAUGUUUUUACAUUUUGACUCUUGAAGAAAUCUUACAUUAUUGAGAACCAAUCAUAUUAUACUUAUCCAUGAAUCGGUUUUAUUUUUUAUAUAUUUUUUAAAGUGUUUUUUUAUUUAAAAUAUAUUAAAAUAAUAUUUUUUUUAUUUUUAAAAUUUUAUUUUUAACAUCAAAACAAUUUAAUAUCAUACAAAAAUUUAAUUUAAAUUAAAAAAAUAAUAUUUUCCAAAAAUAUUUUUAAAACACCGAUGCUUUGAGGUGUCGGUGGAGGUCGAAGAAAGAAGCGCAAGCAGACCGUAAAUUUGACUGCACGCGUACUGGGUCCUUGAUCCAGGCAUGCACUUUGACAGCACGGAGAAACCCAGCAAACUACGCGUAAAAGUUAGAGAGUCAGGCCAUUGAAUCGCUGUUGGUGAACCAUAAAUAAUAGUAAUUAAUGUUUGGUAGCCUAGAGCUAGAGUCUAUCUCAAUUACUCAAUUAUUAACUAUGAAUUCUAUUUCUCGUAUAUAAAUGUGUGAACAUCUUGAAUGAUUCCCUGCAUAGGAAAAAGAUAGCUUUGUAUGUUUUCAAAUGUUAGAACCAAUUGGGCUUGGUCAAAAUUUAAGACAGCAUGUCAUGCACUCAAACACUACUUGUAGAAUGGUAGCCUAGAAUCUUGGUGUGAAUUUAACCUGUAAGGAAGCAUGCAUCGAGUUCAAAUUUAGAGAAGGUCAUAAUAAAAUAAAAUCUCAAAAAUGUAUCACUCUAGGUUACUGAUAAUUAAGAGAAAAAAAAGAUCCUUGCAAGCAAUUGGGCUUGGUUAAAUUUAGGGACGACAUGUGAUGUGCUCGAAAUCUGUGUUGUAUGAACAUGAAUGGCUGAUUGUCCAUUUAUUUCAUAGCUUCAAUUGUAUUGAAUUCUCCCUGUAUAAAUGACUUGUACACUCCAUAACCAUGAAAAUCCUCGCCUGGAGUGGUUGUUCGGAAUUCAAGAUUUUAUUGCCUAUGAAUGGUUAACCUAAUCUUUAUCGGGUUCACCCUCUAGAAUGAUUCAAUUCUGGAUUGAUUGAAGUACUGCUACAUUGGCCCCGAUGAACUUUUAACAAAGACUUUGAUCAAGCUGGUUGUGCAGAGCCCAAAUUGAAUCUGUUUAUAGGCUUGGAACUUUGGAUGGUCCCAAGAAUGGCUCACACAUGCUUCCCACAAGAGAAAAAAGAAAAGAAGAAAUGAAAUAAUUCAACCGGUGCAAGUAUUUAACUACGAUGACCUCGGAGCAACCCAAAAGGGAUGCAUCACAGCACUGUUUAAUGUUGGAGUGCAUAGGAAGAAGAAGAUAGUGUCGAAGUGUGUUCUGUUUGCCUAGAAAAACCACUCCCUUUUUAGGGCCUCUAUGAUGGAAUUGGCAAAAUAAUCAAAUGUCUUACUCUCUCCAAAACGAUUUAGAGCGUCCACAACCAUACUCUUUAAGUCUUUAUCAUGGCUCCUUGGCUAUAAUAGCAAGUAUAGUUUUUUUCCAUAGCAUUCAUGCUCUUUAAAAUAUUCUAGCUUUGUGAACAGUGCUCGCUACAUAUAGCGAGCUAGCACUCCUUGGCUGAGAUAGAAGAUUGGGCAACGCAGUUUGCGGGCAAAAGAAGGCUUAGUUCCAGGGUACCUGGUAGACCAAAUAGGGGUGGAGAAGGUAAGAGGAAGUACCU